This is a long non-coding RNA of Manis pentadactyla (Chinese pangolin), 1320 nucleotides long. RefSeq lists it as uncharacterized. The transcript has 3 exons. NCBI's taxonomy places the organism in Eukaryota, Metazoa, Chordata, Mammalia, Pholidota, Manidae. The record is from RefSeq and is a predicted model, not a curated record.
CUGACCACAGGACACUGAGGCCUGUUCGCAGACACAGGGAGCCUCACCACCCUCAUGGGGCUCCUCCUUGGGGACAUCUCCCGCUCCCAGGAGCUCCAGGGUCUGCAAGGACAAAGACUAAGAACAUGGAGCUAAGAUGAUUGAAUUCAGUCACUGGCCUUCCUGCACGUGGAAGCUGGGUGGCAUGUGAUGGGGUGAGGCACAGGGAAUCCAGAUUUGGGGCCAGGAGAAGCUCGCCAAGAUGAUUGAGUCAUCUCAGGAAUACUCUGAGAAAACUUAUUUUAGAAAUAAUAUGUAACAUAGUCAUUUUUUUCCCAUAAUAUUUAGGCAUGGAAGUAAUACAUAUUAAUUGAAAAUUUGGAGGAUAAAAAGAAGGGAUAGACUUUAAUGGGGACCCAUAAGGCAGAUCCAAGUUUCCUGUAAAUAACUGCACAUCUGUAUGUAUUUAUGUAAAUUUCAUUUCUUUCUAAUUUUAAAGAUAUUCUUGGACACAUUCAUUAAAUAAGUCAAUCAUGGUACAGUGCUAAUAGAAUCCAUCUCUGCAUAUUGAAAAAUGCAUUGUUAUAUCAAACCUUCCUUCUCCUAAGAUGUACCUACUAUAUCCUUAACAAUUUAGAGUUGGAGAAAGGGACAUGUUUAGCUACUCUACUCUCAUUACUCUAAAUGUUAUUUACUAGCUUCUGUUUAGGCACUAACAGACUUAGGGCAGGAAGAGGAAAGCAGUAAAAAAAGACAGAAAAUCCUAAAUGUCUAUAUUACUGGUAAUUGUAAUGGAUGCCCUGUGUGUGUUAUCAAUAGACAUUUGAAGAUGUAUUUCUAAUGGUACACUAUUUCUACACAUAAACUAGCACACUUUUUUUUUGGUAUCAUUAAUGUACAAUUACUUGAACAACAUAUGGCUACUAGACUCUCCCUAUUAUCAAGUCCCCCCCACAGACUCCCCCUAUUAUCAAGUCCCAAGUCACUGUCCAUCAGCAUAGUAAGAUGCUAUAGAAUCACUACUUGUCUUCUCUGUAUAUACUGCCUUUCCCAUGACCCCACCCUGCUACCUUAUGUGUGCUAAUUGUAACGUACCUUUUCCCCACUUAUCCCUCCUUUCCCACCCAUUCUCCCUAGUCCCUUACCCUUUGGUAACUGUUAGUCCAUUCUUGGGUUCUGUGAGUCUGCUGCUGUUUUGUUCCUUCAGUUUUUUUCUUUGUUCUUAUACUCCACAGAUGAGUGAAAUCAUCUGAUACUUGUCUUUCUCCACCUGACUUAUUUCACUGAGCAUAAUACCCUCUAGCUCCAUCUAUGUUGUGGCAAAUGGUAGAAUUUGUUUUC